AUCCAGAGAACUUAGCAGAGAUGCUUUGGUGCCUUCGGGAACUCUGAGACAGGUGCUGCAUGGCUGUCGUCAGCUCGUGUUGUGAAAUGUUGGGUUAAGUCCCGNAACGAGCGCAACCCUUAUCCUUUGUUGCCAGCGGUUCGGCCGGGAACUCAAAGGAGACUGCCGGUGAUAAACCGGAGGAAGGUGGGGAUGACGUCAAGUCAUCAUGGCCCUUACGGCCAGGGCUACACACGUGCUACAAUGGCGCAUACAAAGAGAAGCGACCUCGCGAGAGCAAGCGGACCUCAUAAAGUGCGUCGUAGUCCGGAUUGGAGUCUGCAACUCGACUCCAUGAAGUCGGAAUCGCUAGUAAUCGUAGAUCAGAAUGCUACGGUCGAAUACGUUCCCGGGCCUUGUACACACCGCCCGUCACACCAUGGGAGUGGGUUGCAAAAGAAGUAGGUAGCUUAACCUUCGGGAGGGCGCUUACCACUUUGUGAUUCAUGACUGGGGUGAAGUCGUAACAAGGUAGGCGUAGCGAG
This 524-nucleotide ribosomal RNA is filed under the name uncultured bacterium. RNAcentral describes it as "bacterial SSU rRNA". It matches the Rfam family "Bacterial small subunit ribosomal RNA", at positions 986 to 1509 of the family's 1533-position model. The record is from RNAcentral.